AUGGGUAUCAUAUCAGUUGCCCACUAGCUAUCAGCUCUAGUUUUUUAAGCUUGCCAAAUACUAUAAUAUAUCAGCUAUCAGUACCCAACAGGUAAACCAAAUACCCCCUUAGUCUAUGGUGCCCACACUAAGUUUUUCUUGAUUUAAUUUCAUUAAUAAAAUUUUACUUAUAAAGAAAAUAAUUAUUCCAUUUAGAUAUCAAAUACCAGAAAAUUAAAUGCAAUUUUUCAAGAGCAUUCUCAAUGGUUUGUCUGUGAAGGUGCCUAAAAGUUUGGUUACAAAUGAAAGAUGCACAUGGAGUUCAGAACUCUCAACAGUAUAAAGUUCAAUUCCAA
This 335-nucleotide unclassified non-coding RNA is filed under the name Hevea brasiliensis (rubber tree). Lineage: Eukaryota; Viridiplantae; Streptophyta; Magnoliopsida; Malpighiales; Euphorbiaceae. The record is from RNAcentral.